GCAGCUUUAAUUUUAAGUUAUAUUCUGUUAAUAACAUUGUGCUGCAACCUCAGACUGGGAUUAGUAAUUUUAGUUUCUUUUAAGAUUUCCCAGUGUGAUUGGCUGCAUAGAUGGCACACACAUUCCCAUCACGGCUCCCUCACUUAAUGAAGCCGAUUAUGUGAAUAGGAAGUCCAUUCACAGCAUAAAUGUACAGAUCAUAUGUGAUGCUGCAUACAUCAUUUCCAAUGUGGAGGCCAAGUGGCCUGGGUCUGUUCAUGACUCGAGGAUAUAUCGCAAGUCUAACCUGAGCAACAGACUGCAACGUGGAGAGUUUGAUGGCCUUCUGCUGGGUGACAGGGAUUA
This is a long non-coding RNA of Thunnus maccoyii (southern bluefin tuna), 345 nucleotides long. RefSeq lists it as uncharacterized. The record is from RefSeq and is a predicted model, not a curated record. The transcript is spliced from 3 exons. NCBI's taxonomy places the organism in Eukaryota, Metazoa, Chordata, Actinopteri, Scombriformes, Scombridae.